UUCAUUUUUUUAACAUUUCAUUUCCAAAUUUCAUCUCUAGAGACAGCAAGCUACCAAAAGAAUCCAGUGUUGAUGUCUUUUCUUGGCAGUGCCUAUGGUUUCAUUUGCUCUUGGCCUGGACAGCCAGACAACAUCCCUGCUGGACCAGGACAGUCAGAUGUACCUAGACAAUCUGCACUUAUCAGUUUGAGUCUCAUGUAAUUCUGAGACCAGUCUCCCACAUACCGAUACCAAUGGGAUUUUUCCUGCUGGAUUAAGCAGAAAGAGGAAUACCAGCUGAAAUCUAGAAAGACCAUGAGAGGAGGGUUUUUUC
RNAcentral lists this long non-coding RNA (313 nucleotides) under Lonchura striata (white-rumped munia). RNAcentral describes it as "domestica (Bengalese finch) lncRNA (ENSLSDG00000007405.1)". Lineage: Eukaryota; Metazoa; Chordata; Aves; Passeriformes; Estrildidae. The record is from RNAcentral.